CUCGGCGACGGCGUUCUCUACAAAUUGGGUUUUCACUCGACUGCAACCGUCUGCCUCCUUGUAGUGCCGUCUUCACGAGGUGACGACAUCCUACGGGCCUCUCACGACGAGCCAUCAUCGGGCCACUUGAGAUUCGCACGGUCGUUUGUACGCAUACGCUAAAAGUACUUCUGGCCUAACCGUCGCCGUGAUGUGAAGCAAUACGUGAACCCAUGCCGCGACAGCCAGAGAUGCAAGGCACCACCCGUGCGUCCCGCUGGACUUCUCCAUCCCAUGGAUCCUCCGCGGAUUCCUUUUCAGCAGGUUGGCAUCGAUUUGCUUGGACCAUUCCCCACGUCGAGGGCUGCUCGCCGUUGGUUUUAUCUUUUGCCUCGCCGUCUCGACGGUCCUCGCCAAUGGUAUUGGCGGAGGCGUGGGAGGCGGCAUUGGUUUGGGCCCCAGUGGUGGCCUCGGAUAUGGAGGUGGCCUUGGUGGUGACUACAGCGGUGGCCUUGGCGGCGGGGACGGUGGCGGCUACGGUGGCUCUGACGCUGGUUCCUAUGAUGGAAAUUACGGAGGAUUCCGUGGCGGUCAGUUCGGUUGAUAUGGCCUGAGGUGUAACAUCGCUGCGAACGACAACGCAAGGAAAAGAUAUUUAAACUGUACAAAACAUGUACUUAGAUCGGAAUAAACAACUUCCAC
Dermacentor albipictus is the source of this 681-nucleotide long non-coding RNA. RefSeq lists it as uncharacterized. Lineage: Eukaryota; Metazoa; Arthropoda; Arachnida; Ixodida; Ixodidae. The record is from RefSeq and is a predicted model, not a curated record.